Molecule: unclassified non-coding RNA, 455 nt
Filed under: uncultured fungus
Lineage: Eukaryota; Fungi
Description: partial contains small subunit ribosomal RNA, internal transcribed spacer 1, and 5.8S ribosomal RNA
Rfam family: Eukaryotic small subunit ribosomal RNA (bases 1-73)
Source: RNAcentral
UCAAACUUGGUCAUUUAGAGGAAGUAAAAGUCGUAACAAGGUUUCCGUAGGUGAACCUGCGGAAGGAUCAUUACAAAUUAUGGCGAACCUCGCGUUUCGUGAGGUUUUUGCGUCCAUUUUUCAUAUUUAAAACAUCCCACUCUUAAAAAAAUAUUUAUUUUUGAUAAAAUAAAAAAGAUCACUUUCAACAACGGAUCUCUUGGCUCUCAGAUGUGUAUAAGAGACAGUCAAACUUGGUCAUUUAGAGGAAGUAAAAGUCGUAACAAGGUUUCCGUAGGUGAACCUGCGGAAGGAUCAUUACAAAUUAUGGCGAACCUCGCGUUUCGUGAGGUUUUUGCGUCCAUUUUUCAUAUUUAAAACAUCCCACUCUUAAAAAAAUAUUUAUUUUUGAUAAAAUAAAAAAGAUCACUUUCAACAACGGAUCUCUUGGCUCUCGCAUCGAUGAAGAACGCAGC